GUCCGAAAGUAAAACAAAAUGAAACCUAACCUCUCUCGAGCUCUCUUAGUCGCGAACCCCUCCCUUCUCUAUCUCUCUCUUCCCCGCGAAACCCCUCUUUCUCCUGAAACCUCUCUCAGUCUCUCGAUCUCCUUGCUUCUAUUCUUUAUCCCCCGAAAUCCAAAUCCUCUUCAGUGAUGGAGGAGAUAGAGUGUCCCAGAUCCACUUUCUCUCUCCUCUAUCUCUCUCUCCUCCUCAUCCAAGAUGCAGAAGAGGUUUUAGGUCGCGAACUCUUCUUUAGUCAAGGUUUAUUUCAAGUGCGGCGACUCCAUCGAUCACCCUCACAUUUGGCCCUUCCAGUUUUGGCAAGAGACAGAUAAAGCAGCUUAUCUUGUGAGACAAUACUUCUUGAAUAAUCUACAUGAGGAAGAAGAAGAAAGCAAUAGAGUAGAAUAAGAAAGAUGGCGAGGUACGAUAGGGCCAUUACAGUUUUUUCUCCCGACGACCAGCUCUUCCAGGUCGAGUACACCCUCGAAGCCGUGCGAAAGGGUAACGCCACCAUAGGCGUCUGUGGCACCGACACCAUCGUUCUCGGCGUCGAGAAGAAGUCCACCGCCAAGCUUGUCAGGACUCCAGGGAAUUAUAACCUAUACAUACUCAUAUAUAUCUUCCGCUUUUGCUGUGACAUGCGCUCAGAACUGGAGCCUGGAGCCUCAAGUUUGAAGCCUGAAGAGAGCAAAGCUAAAGUAGUCGUAAAAUGGAGAGUAGUGAAGGAGAAGAGGUUUCCUAUCAUUAAAGGCAUCACUCCCCAGUCCAAAGUUGACUCUUUUUACCAAUCCCACACCGAAAAGACUGUCCAGUGACUGAGGAUAUAAAUUUCAUCUGAUCAGGUUUGCUCCAUCCCCUGAUCCAUCACUAAGUAUCGAGUUUUAUGAUCAAACUCCAGAGCAACAAUCAGUCCUAGGGUAUGUUGUUGACUCAUCACAAACAGGACAUGCUCAUGAUGUAGCAUCAACAAAUCCAAUUGGUCCUGACCAGGAGCAUAGAGUACCUCAUGGUUCCAUUGGUGCAGCAGCUGGUCAUCGAGCCAUUGCUCAGAGUAAUGCUGAGGAAAUUUCUGAAGCUUUGUUUCAAUACUCUGCACCAUAGCAGGUGAUGAGUUCCCAUCAACAUGCGGAACUUGUACUGCAAAAUGUGAGACUCGAAUGUUUGUCACCCAUAUCCUUUGUGUCUUUUUACCCUUUCGAUUGUGAAAUAAGUUGCGAAAUUCUGAUGCUUGUGGUUACUGCAAUUCUGAGGUUUGUAUUGAUCUGCUUGUUCUCUCUCUCUCUCUCAUGCUUCAAUGGUAAUUGUUGCUCUCUUGUGCAGUUGUUUAAAAUCCAGUGAUUUCUUAUUCAAAGUAUCUGGUAUUGCCUUCUUCUUUUAUUUCCUUCUAUAAUGUUGAAUACUGAGUUUGUCAUCCGGAAUGGUUUUAGGGGUCUCUUCUAAGGUGUCCACUUACUGAUCAAACUCUCAAUGAGAAUUCAAGGUAUGUUUGUUCUCAUGGGAUGGGACUUAUAUCAGAUGAACUCUAUGGGGUACUUUUGCCUUCCAAUUUCUACUUCAUUAUUAAGAAUAUAAUUUCUUAAUAUGAUAUCAAAGGUUCAUUGACUUUUCAAAGUGAUACUCUGCGGUUUAAUGGAUGGAUUAUCUAGUAUAAGUACCAAUUGAUUAUGUUGUCUGCUUUUUCCAGGCAGCUAAUAAUGAGUAUAUUUCUAUGCAAGGAAUUAGUUUUCUAUGUAAGUUGUGUUAAUGCUGCUUGGGCUUUAUGCAAAUAACUAAGCUUAUUUUUAAUGAUGUUAAGGAAACAUUGGCAAUGUGUCGCUUAUUCUGAUUGCAGUUUUAUGUAGAGACUUAUCCAACCCUCUUUUGCUGACCGAACAACAUGUAGCACAGAUGGGACUGCCUGUAUUUCAUUUGGCCAGUGGGUAGGCAUUGUGCAUUUCACUCUUGAUCACCAGAGUUUGUAACUGAAAUAGCCAGUCUUGAUGCAACUUAUCAUAUACAUCUAGUGUUUUCUUGAUCCUAUUCAUUUUUUCCCUUAUCUUUUCUUGAUCCUAAACAUAUGAACUUAAUGAUUCGCACUGUUAUAUUUGAUAUUUUCUCUGCAUGUGUGCAGUAUAUAUGAGUAAGAUUUUAAUGUGCUUUGACUUCAUACUUACAAAAUCAUGCCACGCUUUUACAUACUGGUCUUGUCGAAUGUGAUGUUGUGCAUUAUUUUCUUAGACUUCGUCUUGACCACUUGCAUUUGGUUUACUCUAAUUGAUUCAAUGAAGACAUAAAAAUAAGGUCUUGUGCAUGCAUGUAUCUCGGAGAGGAUGCAAAAGCAUUAAAAAUAAGGUUUUCAGGUGUCUAAGAUCACGUUGGUAUUGUAAUGGAUCAUUUGCCAAAAGUUAAGAACUGGACCUAACUUUCUUUGUUUGUGUUUCUGCCAUGUUUUUUUUAUUUUUUUUUAUGCAGAAAUAUGAUGUUGACACAGCAGCAAAGGCAACUGUCCUUGGCAUCCAAGUUGGGUGUGGAUUCAGGCCUAAGAUUCCAUAUUGGAGAUGAAUCUAGAGCUAAUGCUGCACAAGAUAAUGAACUUUUCUAUCAGAAUCCUCAAGCAUAUGCUGCACAAGAUGGAAAUUGGAUUGCUCGUAUUGCAGCAUUGCUUGUGGGUGAGGAUCAAACACAAUCUUGUAUAGCUUAUGAAAUUGAAAGGCUUAGUUCAAUGAAAUGUUUAAAUGCUUAUAAAAUUGUAUAUAGUGAAUCGAUUGGAGUUUGUUUUGAUGUAUCAAAGUUACUUUUAGCAUUAA
Molecule: long non-coding RNA, 2813 nt
Organism: Rosa rugosa (rugosa rose)
Lineage: Eukaryota; Viridiplantae; Streptophyta; Magnoliopsida; Rosales; Rosaceae
Exons: 5
Source: RefSeq, a predicted model, not a curated record